AAGUCGUAACAAGGUUUCCGUAGGUGAACCUGCGGAAGGAUCAUUAAAUGAACCCGGGGCUCGCCCCCGGCAGGGGGGUCGGCCCCACGGUCGAGCCUCGCGGCCCGGCCUGGAGUCGCCCCCCGUCGUCAUUCACCCUUUGACCGCCUACCGUGGAACACAGUUGCUUCGGCGGGGUCACACCCGCCGGAGGUCCACCCCAAAACCCUUUUGUAUGACCCAUGACGUCCGAGUCCCACACAUGAAUAAACAAAAACUUUCAACAACGGAUCUCUUGGUUCUG
Molecule: unclassified non-coding RNA, 283 nt
Filed under: air metagenome
Description: partial contains small subunit ribosomal RNA, internal transcribed spacer 1, and 5.8S ribosomal RNA
Rfam family: Eukaryotic small subunit ribosomal RNA (bases 1-46)
Source: RNAcentral